RNAcentral lists this ribosomal RNA (257 nucleotides) under uncultured bacterium. RNAcentral's name for it is "partial 16S ribosomal RNA". It matches the Rfam family "Bacterial small subunit ribosomal RNA", at positions 1244 to 1500 of the family's 1533-position model. The record is from RNAcentral.
AAGAAGCGAAGCGGUGACGUGGAGCAAACCUCAGAAAGCCAAUCUCAGUUCGGAUUNUAGGCUGCAACUCGCCUACAUGAAGUUGGAAUCGCUAGUAAUCGCGAAUCAGAAUGUCGCGGUGAAUACGUUCCCGGGUCUUGUACACACCGCCCGUCACACCACGAGAGUUUACAACACCCGAAGUCAGUGGCCUAACCGCAAGGAGGGAGCUGCCUAAGGUGGGGUAGAUGAUUGGGGUGAAGUCGUAACAAGGUAUC